Molecule: ribosomal RNA, 628 nt
Filed under: uncultured bacterium
Lineage: Bacteria
Description: bacterial SSU rRNA
Rfam family: Bacterial small subunit ribosomal RNA
Source: RNAcentral
GAGUUUGAUCCUGGCUCAGGAUGAACGCUGGCGGCGUGCCUAACACAUGCAAGUCGAACGGGGUUAUUUAGGAAAUUUCCUUCGGGGAAUGGAAUCUUUAACCUAGUGGCGGACGGGUGAGUAACGCGUGAGCAAUCUGCCUUCGGAUGGGGGAUAACAGCCGGAAACGGCUGCUAAUACCGCAUAACACAAGGGAUUCGCAUGUUUCCCUUGUCAAAGAUUUAUCGUCCGAAGAUGAGCUCGCGUCUGAUUAGCUGGUUGGCGGGGUAACGGCCCACCAAGGCGACGAUCAGUAGCCGGACUGAGAGGUUGAACGGCCACAUUGGGACUGAGACACGGCCCAGACUCCUACGGGAGGCAGCAGUGGGGAAUAUUGCGCAAUGGGGGCAACCCUGACGCAGCAACGCCGCGUGAUUGAAGAAGGCCUUCGGGUUGUAAAGAUCUUUAAUCGGGGACGAAAAAUGACGGUACCCGAAGAAUAAGCUCCGGCUAACUACGUGCCAGCAGCCGCGGUAAUACGUAGGGAGCAAGCGUUAUCCGGAUUUACUGGGUGUAAAGGGCGUGUAGGCGGGCAUGCAAGCCAGAAGUGAAAUCUGGGGGCUUAACCCCCAAACUGCUUUUGGAACUG